CGCCGGGCGCAGCAAGGGCCAGACUCUGCGCUAGCAGGCGCUGCGCGCCAACCGGCCGGCACCUGUCGCAGAAGGUGCAACCGAUCGCACUGUCGCGCAGAAGCUCCUCAAUGGCCAGCGCCAGCUGCAGCCCCGGCCGCCCACUCGCCUCAUCUGAGCCUGGGCAAAUCUGGAUUGGGAAAGUUGACAUUAAUCAACUCAUUAUUCCUCACAGAUUUGUAUUCUCCAGAGUAUCCAGGUCCUUCUCAGAGAAUUAAAAAGCCUGUACAGCGCUGCUCUAAGCUGUUGAUGAAAAAUAUUGUUGGUGAGCUCUGCUUAGGUAAUAUAUAGGACAUGAGCAGAGAGGAGGCACGUGAACAGUUCUGGCCUGGAGUAGGCUUCAUUGAGGCUGUGAUGCUUUUAGCUGGAUUUGAAGAAGUGGUAGUGAUCAUCCCAGUGCACAGGAUAGGUGGACAGUCUAUGUAUUCUGAGCAGUAACUCAUAUAUCUCAUACUGCAAGACCCCAAAGGAGUAAUUUUGUGAACUCUGUUCACGGAAAGGGCCUGGGAGCUGCAACACCUCAACAGCAACAAGCACACCUGCUACCUAGAACUUGGUUUCUAAAAACCAUCCUCCUCUAAAAGGAAACAGAGCUCUUUGAAGAAACGAAGGUAAGCAUGAGCAAAUUACUUUUUAGAGGUAACUUUGCUGAACUUGUGAAGAAUGGUGUGCAAGGUCCAGAGCGACUGCAGGAGAGGGAAGGUGGGAUUCCCACAGAGCAGGAGCACAGAUAAGCCAAGCAAGGCCCUGCUUGGAAGGCAGCAAUCAACAGAGAUGCACAGACCUGUGAGGGUGCCGGGACAGCCAUGCAACAAUGCAGCCCUUUUGCUUCCUGAGCUCACCAGUUCCCUCGCUCCACCUCUGAGAGGUGGUUUGGAGAAACACAGCCCUUCUCAAGAGGGCUGCAAGCUACUUAAGUCCUGAAAAUUUCCACAAGGCUGAGUCAAAUCUGCGUUUCAUCAUCUAUAAGAAAGGUACCUAUCGAGAACACCCUGCUGGCCAGUGUGUAAAUAUCUAAAGGAGGACUCAGAAAACACCGGGGAAGUCCAGCCUGCACGUGGUGGCUGGGCUUCAGUGAAGCAUGCAGCACAACAGGAGUUAGCAGACCACAAAGAGCAUGUCUGGACCUAGAACCACAGCAUGUAACCUCGGAAGCAGUGAGACACCAGCCAGCAUGGACAAGCAGCAGGCACUUGCU
This 1237-nucleotide long non-coding RNA is filed under the name Homo sapiens (human). Its description in RNAcentral is "HSALNT0289607". Lineage: Eukaryota; Metazoa; Chordata; Mammalia; Primates; Hominidae. The record is from RNAcentral.